RNAcentral lists this ribosomal RNA (486 nucleotides) under Triticum aestivum (bread wheat). RNAcentral's name for it is "partial small subunit ribosomal RNA". Lineage: Eukaryota; Viridiplantae; Streptophyta; Magnoliopsida; Poales; Poaceae. The record is from RNAcentral.
AUGAAAGUGUUAUCCGCUCAGAGGGAAAUUUGUGUCAUAUCGGAUCGGAAUCAAGGUAUUCUUAACGCGGUGGAGAUUGACAUUCCCGGGCAUGCUCCGUUGCAUCAUCGAUGGUGCAUGAGGCACUUUUGUUCGAACUUCUAUAGGGCAUGUGGCCUUAAGGAGUUGGCCGAUGAUCUUCAAGAUUGUUGUCUCGCUUUCUCCGACAAGCGCUUCACCACUUUGUACAACAAAUUGCUUGCACACAAAAAACUUGAUCCCAGGGGUCAAGACCUUCUCAAUAGGCACAUUCAAUACCGGAACAAGUGGGCAUGUGCUUUUGAUGAAGAUGGCCGGAGAUACUGUCAAAUGACAAGCAAUAUGGUCGAAUGCUUCAAUAGGGUGCUCAAAAGUGCACGUGGAUUACCCGUGACGACAAUAAUUCAGUACACAUUUGACAAGAUGAAUGCAUACUUUGUAAAGUACUCGAUGGAAACGGAUGCAUAG